This 3669-nucleotide long non-coding RNA is filed under the name Arabidopsis lyrata. Its description in RNAcentral is "long non-coding RNA (ALYR_LNC001462)". The record is from RNAcentral. Lineage: Eukaryota; Viridiplantae; Streptophyta; Magnoliopsida; Brassicales; Brassicaceae.
UUGAGAGUGUCUCUUGGGCAGCUUCCGGUGGACUGGGGCUUAGGCUUGGGUUUAGGGGUUGGACUGCAGCCACCGCCACAUGCGGUGGUCAAGGUGAAGAAGAGGAUGCUGAAUGUGAGGAAAAUGACAAGGGAUGCUGAGGUUUUCGAAGCCAUCUCUCGAAAUAUGUAUAUUUCUAUUUUAAGUAAGAAGUUUGAAGAUAAGAGUGUUCCUAAAAGAGAGUGGUGAAGAUAAAUGAAGAGAAGGUGUAUGUAUAUAUAUUAGGGUUUUAAGGGGUUGUACAGUUAAUUAAAGCUGUCAUUGCUAAAUGAUUUUGAGGAAUUAUUAGACGAAUAUAUAUUUUAGUAACAAUAGUCAGUGGAUCUUUGUAUUAUUAAGUGGUUAAUAUAUAUUUCAUUUUUUUAUUACAUUGUGAAACAAAUGUUAAAUCAUGGAUAGAAGCAAUUUACUAAAUUAAUUAGGACCCUAUUGUGCUGUCAUAAUUUUUUUUAUUUUUCAAAAGUUUAUUAGUUGAGUAGUUAUAAAUGUUUUCGUUUUUCAUCUAUACAGAAUACAGUUUCAAAAGAUACAAAUAUAUAUAUAUAUAUAUAUAUAUAUAUAUAUAUAUAUAUAUAUAUAUAUAUAUAUAAUAGUAAGAUUCUAAAACAGUCGAAAUACUUUUCCUUUGUUGAAUUGUAAAACAAUCGAUUUUUUUUAGAAUCUUAGCUUAAAUUCAUAUUUGUCGGCUGUAUAUUAUUUUUCUCAGUUUAUAUAUUUUGUGAUUUUGAUUUAUCUACCCUAAUUAGUAUUUUUCCGUAACUUACUUGUGGAGUACAUUUUAUAGACUAUCGACUCAUAUUUUAUGUUAGUCGAAGUAAUACACUUUAUUUUGGUCGACUUGAUUACCAUUUAUUUUGGGCUAUUGAUUGAAUUCAGGUAAAUCGAAAACAUAAACACGAAUUGCUCGUUAGAAGUGUUCAUUAAUUAAAAAUUAGUUUCGACUAUGAAAAAUAUAUAUACCUUUUUAUAUCCGAAACUUUCAGAUUAUAAGAAAAUCAGACUAUAAUCGAUGCACAUGUGAUCAAUAAUUACUCAUAUUUCCCAUGUGUAGCCCCGAAUGUGAUUUACAGGCUUUAGCUGGCGAUUGUGUUUGGAGGUUAAUUAGUAAUUUGGAAGUGUAUGACUACUGACUUUCAAAUUUCAGUUAUUGGCUUUACCCUUCACAUUUUAUUUUUGGGAAAUUAGCAACUAUAGCAAGAAAAACAACAACUAUAAUUCAUCAAAUAACAACAAUAGAAUUCUUAUGACAAAUAGCUUUGGGUACUUUGACACUAACGUCAGGUUUAACUCAACGUGGAAUAAACCAUUAAUCAUUAUUCUAAUUUAGUGUUCGCAUCUUAUUAACCCUUGGUAAUUUUCUCGACGAGCUAAUUAACAAAAUAGGGAUUUCUUCUUUAGGCGAAUUCUGUCUCAGCUAAGAAAGAAUGAGGGAUAUUACAGUUUUCCAUGAAUUAUCUAGUUUCUAUGGAAAAGUAAAAAUAAACUACGAAAAUAUACCAAAAAACUAUACUAGAGCCCUCAAGUUUUUUGAAUCAUAUUAUUAGUGAUCACAGUUUGGAUGGCAGCUCAAAUUAGCCCAACUAAGGAUAUCAAGAACAGAUUUAAUCUGGAUAUGAAUUAUCGUUCUUAAGAUGUCAAGGUCAUGAUUCGUCGAAACUAUAACGCCUCCACCGUCAUUGUAUGUCGUCCCAUGCUUUCUUUCGACCCGUAGAUUCUACCCCCAUCCGACGGUUAGUGCAUUAUUCGAUGAAAUUUAAUUUUUUUACUCUCCAUACAUAUGACUACUAAAUAUUUGUCGUGUUUCGUCCUUACUCACACGGUACCCAAAAUUACUUUCUGGUAGGUCAACAAUCUUGAAAUCGAUGUAUCUCAAACACGUUUAACUGAAAAUCGGUAAACAUGAUUAGCGAAAAAGAUAAAUGCACUAAGUAGGUAGCCAAAUCAAAUUUAAAUUUUCGUAUAUAUGCACCAGCAUAUCUUCAAAAAUAGGGGUGUUACAACCACCUUGCUACCAUAUCGCAAUGUCAUUAACUCAUUAUCAUGUACCAAGACUGUUACUCCAAGUCCAACGGUGUCAAUGUGCAUGUCUUCACACUCGUCCGGGUUUGGCUCUAAUACCAUUUAUUAUGUUUCGGCUACCAUCUUAUGUGCUUCUCUAUGCCCUCUCUGGGGCCGUGGACCAAUCUUUGUCCAACGAGAGGCCUUAAAAUACAUGUUUGAUGUUCCUCCUCACUAAGAUGGUAUUUGAAAUCAUUUUUCCUCGGGUCACAUAUCCUAAAAAUCGGUACAGUUUAAGCAUGCUUAAGUCUAGAAUUAUGUCAGAAUGAUUGACAAAAAAAAUACGUAUAUUUUGGUGACAUAGAUAGUCUAUCAAUUUUUUUAAGUUUCUUCGCAUGUACUACCAUAUUUUCAUAAAUCUCUAAAAUAUAUAAUAUAAUAAAACAGACGGAGUAGUAUAAAGCUUUGAAAAGUUAGCAGAAAUCAUAGUUUGCAUUUCAAAAUCAAUAUCAAUAACUUAAUUUAAUUAUUGCCAAUUGAUUCUGAAUUGAAAAUUCUUUCAUCCUCAUACGGUAUUAAAAUCUUAACAAGCCAAAUGGAUAAAAACUGAUCCGAACAGAUGAUUAAGUUCGGUAUUAGAUGAAUGAGCCAAAGAGCCAUUUUCUCGAAAUGAUAACAUAUCCCACAUUAGAAAUGAGUAUUGACCACUAGUAGAUAAAGAAUAUUAGUUAAUCAAUUACUACCAACUAGUUUUGCAAUUAUUUUUAAUUUGGAUCUUCAGAUAUUUCAUAUUGUCUUUUAUUUUAUUUAUUAAAUAGAAUUCUUGUAUUUUUUAACAAACAUUUAAGUAUUGUUAAUCUUUAUAAAAAUAAUUCCAGGGUUAAACUUUUCUAGUAUGUAUGUAUAUUUCAAUGGAUAGAUUAGGUAGACAGAGAUUCGUGCUCUUGUGAUCGUUAGAAUAAAAUAAAUUAAUGUAAUACUUUCUGAGGAGAUGCCGAAACAAGAAGCUGAUUAUGAUAAUACUUUAAGAAUCUUAUUUUUGAGCUAAUUAAUUUAAAAUGUAAACAGUACAAGAAGUAGAGGCAGCACUUAUUCGAUGAACAACUGAAAAAAAAAGAGAAUUCAAAGAAUCUUAAUCAAAGAUAAAACAUCAAAAGAUAAGUUAAAAAAUAUGACCAAGGUGGAUAGAUAAAUCAAGCACAUACGAAUCCAGAAGGAACCUUCCUGCCACAAACAUUGAGAAGAAGGCUGAGAGAGACUGGAACAUUAAGCUUAUUGCCUAAGACAUUAGCCUUUAGGGCGGUGCAGAGACAAGCCGCAGCCUCAAGAUCAACCAGACCCUUAAGGAGGGAGCAGCAAGGCUUGACUGGUGGUGUGCCCAACUGGAUUUUGAGAAGAUCCUUGAGGACAUUGGCGCAAACGCCAAGCUUGAGAGUGUCUCUUGGGCAGCUUCCGGUGGACUUGGGCUUAGGCUUGGGUUUAGGGGUUGGACUGCAGCCACCGCCACAUGCGGUGGUCAAGGUGAAGAAGAGGAUGUUGAAUGUGAGGAAAAUGACAAGGGAUGCUGAGGUUUUCGAAGCCAUCUUUCGAUAUAUAUAUUUCUAUUUUAGGUAAGAAGUUUUAUGAUAGAAG